Molecule: ribosomal RNA, 468 nt
Filed under: uncultured bacterium
Lineage: Bacteria
Description: partial 16S ribosomal RNA
Rfam family: Bacterial small subunit ribosomal RNA
Source: RNAcentral
GACGAACGCUGGCGGCGUGCCUAAUACAUGCAAGUAGAACGGUGAGGCCCGGCCUUUCUGCGCUGCACGAGUGGCGAACGGGUGAGUAACGCGUGAGUAACCUGCCUUUGACUGUGGGAUAACUUCAGGAAACUGGGGCUAAUACCGGAUAGGAGCACUUGCUGCAUGGCGGGGGUUUGAAAGUUUCGGUGGCUCCGGCUGGAGUUGCGGCUUCUUAGCUUGUGGGUGGGGUUGUGGCUUCGCCUGGCCUUGACGGGGAGCCGGCCUGGGAGGGGGACAGGCCACAUUGGGACUGAGGAAGGAGCCAGACUGCUACGGGAGGCAGGAGUGGAAGAUAGUGCGAGAUGGGCGGAAGGCGGAUGGAGCAACGCCGGGUGCUGGAUGACGGCCUUCGGGGUGUAACCCGCUUGCGCCUGUGACGAAGAGUGAGUGACGGUAAUUGGUAAAGAAGCACCGGCUAACUACGUG